Molecule: ribosomal RNA, 494 nt
Filed under: uncultured bacterium
Lineage: Bacteria
Description: partial 16S ribosomal RNA
Rfam family: Bacterial small subunit ribosomal RNA
Source: RNAcentral
GACGAACGCUGGCGGCGCGCUUAACACAUGCAAGUCGAACGGAAAGGCCUGCUUUCCCUUGUGGAUUGCGGGUACUCGAGUGGCGAACGGGUGAGUAACACGUGAGUGAUCUGCCCCCAACUUGGGUAUAAGCCUGGGAAACUGGGUCUAAUUCCCGAUAGGACUGCAGGGUGGUGCCUGUGGUGGAAAACGAUUUUCUAGUGGUUGGGGAUGAGCUCGCGGCCUAUCAGCUUGUUGGUGGGGUAAUGGCCUACCAAGGCGGCGGCGGGUAGCCGGCCUGGGAGGGUGGACGGCCACAGUGGGACUGAGAUACGGCCCAGACUCCUACGGGAGGCAGCAGUGGGGAAUAUUGCACAAUGGGCGGAAGCCUGAUGCAGCGACGCCGCGUGGGGGAUGACGGCCUUCGGGUUGUAAACUCCUUUCGACCGCGAGGAAGCCACCUGGUUGGAAGGGUGGUGACGGUAGUGGUAGAAGAAGCACCGGCUAACUACGUG